GAUUCCAUGCUGAGAUAUUUCUUUAGUUGAGUAUAACGAGUUUAGGUGAGUCAGGGAAUGGCAUCUGUUGCUGCUAGGGUUAGAAAUGACACUUCUGAUGUUUAAGUUUAUAGAUACAUCUGCAGCAGGUAUUGCUUUAUCUCUUGUACGUGCGUUUGCGGCAAGUAUCUUGGGCCAUUUGUAGGCCAUCUUGCCUUCAAAUAGUGCCGUUUUUCUCAAUUUUUCUGGCUGUUGAGCAUCUGCAGAUAUUGUAGGUCCGCCCUGUGGUGAUUUUGUCACAAUAUAGAAGUGAAUAAAUAAUUGCGUCGGUCAAUGCAAGAUGAUAUAUUUCAUUUGUUGUUGAAGCUUUUUUUAUAUGGAGUUCUAUGAAGAAUUUGCAGUGCAUGCUUACAAUUAAUGUCUUCAGGCUUGGAUUUGGUAAAAGGAAUCAAACUUUUUUAGCGCUUUACUUUGGACAGUGCUUCUUAUCUACCUAGGCAGGUAUGACUUAAAUUCUCUCAAUGGGAUUUCAGCUUCUUCUUUUGUAGUUGCAAGUGGCACAAAAGCCACUUUAAGUUGUAGUAACAGGAAAAACGCUUUCGAUUGAUUUCUCAGCUGAUAUUUAUGUGCAUUAUGAUGCGAUUCUUAUCUCAGUGUCACAGCUUGCUUCUACAUUCUUUUGCAAUUUCUCAAGCUCUCACCUCAAGAGUCUUCACAAGAUCCCAUCUACCAUGUUCUGUUGCAGCAUUCUAGCAAGGGUCAUCAAACUCUUUUCAACAUCUUGGGAGGAAUGAAUCCGGAGGCCCCUGUGAAAGCACAGAUAAUGCACGGUUACAACAUAAAUAGCCUAGACGAACCCUCAUAUAGGAAUAAUAAGUGAAGAGCAAGUGGAUUACUUCAACAUGCCAUUGUAUCCUGCGUCUCCGGUGGAGAUUGCACGGCUAGUCAAAAUGGCCGGUAGUUUUCACAUAGAGACGAUGGAGCUGCUCAACACCCAAACGAGGUAUGACGGUGGAGUCCAUGCAUAGGAUAUUGUGAUACACCUAAGAGCGGGCUUGGAGGGGAUCAUCAGCAAACACUUCCGAAGCAAGAUCAUCUCGCCCCAUUCUUGUUAGGCUAGUAUUAGAUUCUUGUUAGGUCAGCAGUCUGAAACUUGUUAUCAUUACAUGGGUUGGGUUGGCUAUGAUGGAUGUGCUGGACUUUGAACAAAAGAUGGUAACUAUUCAAGAGGCGCGGAUGGGUGUCAUUGCAGCGGCCUUGAUUCGUUGAACUUUGCUCAAUCCUGUGGCCGAUGUUCCAUCGGGUUGUUGG
Eucalyptus grandis is the source of this 1290-nucleotide long non-coding RNA. RefSeq lists it as uncharacterized. The transcript is spliced from 3 exons. The record is from RefSeq and is a predicted model, not a curated record. NCBI's taxonomy places the organism in Eukaryota, Viridiplantae, Streptophyta, Magnoliopsida, Myrtales, Myrtaceae.